RNAcentral lists this ribosomal RNA (226 nucleotides) under uncultured bacterium. Its description in RNAcentral is "partial 16S ribosomal RNA". It matches the Rfam family "Bacterial small subunit ribosomal RNA", at positions 15 to 230 of the family's 1533-position model. The record is from RNAcentral.
GAUCCUGGCUCAGGAUGAACGCUAGCGACAGGCCUAACACAUGCAAGUCGAGGGGCAGCAUGGUCUUAGCUUGCUAAGGCUGAUGGCGACCGGCGCACGGGUGAGUAACACGUAUCCAACCUGCCGUCUACUCUUGGCCAGCCUUCUGAAAGGAAGAUUAAUCCAGGAUGGGAUCAUGAGUUCACAUGUCCGCAUGAUUAAAGGUAUUUUCCGGUAGGCGAUGGGG